Long non-coding RNA from Dermacentor andersoni, 1868 nucleotides. RefSeq lists it as uncharacterized. NCBI's taxonomy places the organism in Eukaryota, Metazoa, Arthropoda, Arachnida, Ixodida, Ixodidae. The record is from RefSeq and is a predicted model, not a curated record.
GUGUGUGUGUGUGCAUGCGUGCGUCUUGCGCGCGCAUACAUGCCGGUUUGUAUGGGCCGGCGUGCUUGCGUGUGUCUAGUGCGUACGUGUUUUGUGAGCGUGUUUCUGUGUGGGUCACUGUGUGUGCGUGCACGUGUUAGCGUGUCUGCCUGCAUGUAUGUGUGAUUGUUUGUGUUUAUCAAUGUGCGCGUGCGUGCCUUUGUGUCUGCGCUUUGAGAGUGUGUAUAUUUGUGUGCGCGCGAGUGCGUUUUGUGUGCGUGCGUAUGUAUUGCAUAAGGCCGGUAGAGUUUUACUCGCUAUAAUGCUCUUCCAAUUUGGUGCAGCGAGUGUUGCGGCCUGAAAGCCGAGUUUGGUUUCAAGCCAACCUGGACAACUGCUGUAUGAGGCGCUGUUUCUCAGGAGGAUCAGUGGGAAGGCGUCAGGUCAUGCAGAUGAUAGCAUCAAUUUCACAAUGCCCAGCCUUGGUGCCCUCCAUUAAGAGCAAGCCGCUUGCGUUCGCCUUCAGGCAGGUGGUUGAUGUCUUCUAGGAAGCAGUUGGGAAGACUACAUUGAUGCAGGAUUCCAGCAAUGCCAUGCGCUGCAUUUAUUGGUCAAGAUGCUCAGAGAAUGGAGUCCCUGCACCUCGUGGUGAAACGUGAACAUUUUCUUUCUUUUGGAAAGCUAAACGUCAUUUGCUGUAUCAAUUGCAUUCUUGCAGCUCAGAUGUGUACUAUAUUUUUUCUAAUUUUGAAUCAGUUAAUAUUCACUGUUCAGUAUAAAAAUGACGUACAGUGUGAAGGACAAGGACUGCGAGAGAUGACAUACAGUGCGCUGACUUCCAACAAUAUUUUAUUGCGUUGCCACAUCGUGUGUUUAUACACAAGAAGGGCCAUGCGCAGAAAAUGAAAGGCAGUCACAAGGGGUGUUCUAACAGCAAGUCAUUGUACUAAGAACAUGGUCACUAAAAAAAAAAUCACAAUUUCUAUCUGUGGAGAUACAAGACUUCACUAGGGGUCAGCGUGAUAGACGGGGCACUAACGCACACACUACCCAUUUUUCUGGUGAAAUAAGCAUCAAUAAUGUACCGGGUGAGCUGUGUUUCGCUAGAACUUGCGUAUCUUCAAAGAGGGGCAUGCAGCGGCAGUCCCGGCAAUGAAUGCCCAAGUGGCCUUGAACAGUGUUAUGGACGUUAUGGUGCACUUUUAAACGAUCAUUUAGGCACCUGCCUGUCCGUCCAACAUAUUUACUGCCUCAAAACAGGAAUAUGGUAAACCACAUUCGUUACACAUAUCGCAAAACGUUUUCUGUGCCCGACAGAGCAAGAACUCUGACACGAUUUAGGCGCGUUUACACGCUUACAGAGCUUUGCCAGCUUUUCCGGGGCUGAGAAAAAGACUGGGAUUCCUGGAGGUUGCCAAAUCUUUCUUUAGCCUAUCGGAGACAUCAUGCACAUACGGUAGCACUGCGAACCAGUCUUUCAACCGGCUGGUUCCUUGACUGAGUGCGCUCAUCACGUUUUGUGCCCUUCAGAAGCUGUUCCGCUAUGGCUGAAAUUAAGGCCAAAGGGUAGCCAACCCAAGAAAGGCGAUCAACCUGUGCAGCAAGACUAUCUUGCAUUUCAUGUGAGCAAGAUUUAUUGAGGCUGUUAACGAGGCAAAUCUUUACAAUACCUCGUUUAACAAGCUUUGAAUGUGCAGAGUUAAAGGGCAAGAGUUACUUCUUACUUCUCGGUUCAAAGCACUAGCCCACCUGUUUAUUUGUAAGGCACUGCCUGAGAUCAAGAAAGCGCAAAGAAUCAUCAGUGGGGACCUCAUUUGUUAGUUCUAGAGGCUGCAGCUCUUAAAGAUCUCCAAGUCUCCCAAGCAGCAGGCUCAAAAGCAUGAUCAGUG